GGAAACGUCGCAUAGUCUGGACGAUUGCACUUCCCCGCUAAGGAAGAGGGUGUCAAAGCCCCGUGGGUUCAAAUCCCACCGUUUCCG
Molecule: transfer RNA, 87 nt
Filed under: Candidatus Omnitrophota bacterium
Lineage: Bacteria; Pseudomonadati; Candidatus Omnitrophota
Description: tRNA-Ser
Rfam family: tRNA
About the family: Transfer RNA (tRNA) molecules are approximately 80 nucleotides in length.
Source: RNAcentral